AUUGAGAGUAGAAGCUGUCAACAUAUAAAAAACGAGUAUGUGGGUCAUUGCUCUAAGC
Molecule: non-coding RNA, 58 nt
Organism: Acinetobacter soli NIPH 2899
Lineage: Bacteria; Pseudomonadati; Pseudomonadota; Gammaproteobacteria; Moraxellales; Moraxellaceae
Source: Rfam